UUGAAGUUAGUAACGUUAACGUAACGAAAAAUUGGGGGGAAAAAUUACCAUGUUGCAAGCUUAUAGUGACUUUGAAGUAGUUAAGUUUUCAAAAUAUGAAUACGUUUUGCCUUAUUAUGAUUUACUGAAUUUUAGACAUUCCCGCAAUUGUGAAAUAACGAUUCUCCGAAACGUUGAUCAUUACAAUAACGAUACUAACUUCAGCCUUAUGAAAAACUUCAGAGUUUAAUAAUUUUGAACG
This 241-nucleotide long non-coding RNA is filed under the name Neodiprion pinetum (white pine sawfly). Its description in RNAcentral is "uncharacterized LOC124212631". Lineage: Eukaryota; Metazoa; Arthropoda; Insecta; Hymenoptera; Diprionidae. The record is from RNAcentral.